RNAcentral lists this ribosomal RNA (301 nucleotides) under uncultured bacterium. RNAcentral describes it as "partial 16S ribosomal RNA". It matches the Rfam family "Bacterial small subunit ribosomal RNA", at positions 509 to 809 of the family's 1533-position model. The record is from RNAcentral.
CAGUCGCCACGGUAAUACGUAGGUGGCAAGCGUUGUCCGGAAUUAUUGGGCGUAAAGGGCUCGCAGGCGGUUUCUUAAGUCUGAUGUGAGAGCCCCCGGCUCAACCGGGGAGGGUCAUUGGAAACUGGGAAACUUGAGUGCAGAAGAGGAGAGUGGAAUUCCACGCGUAGCGGUGAAAUGCGUAGAGAUGUGGAGGAACACCAGUGGCGAAGGCGACUCUCUGGUCUGUAACUGACGCUGAGGAGCGAAAGCGUGGGGAGCGAACAGGAUUAGAUACCCCAGUAGUCCCUGUCUCUUAUAA